This 254-nucleotide ribosomal RNA is filed under the name uncultured bacterium. RNAcentral describes it as "partial 16S ribosomal RNA". It matches the Rfam family "Bacterial small subunit ribosomal RNA", at positions 524 to 776 of the family's 1533-position model. The record is from RNAcentral.
GACGUAGGGCGCGAGCGUUGUCCGGAUUUAUUGGGCGUAAAGAGCUCGUAGGCGGUGUGUCGCGUCGGCCGUGAAAACCUGGGGCUUAACUCUGGGCGUGCGGUCGAUACGGGCAUCACUGGAGUUCGGCAGGGGAGACUAGAAUUCCUGGUGUAGCGGUGAAAUGCGCAGAUAUCAGGAGGAACACCGGUGGCGAAGGCGGGUCUCUGGGCCGAUACUGACGCUGAGGAGCGAAAGCAUGGGUAGCGAACAGG